UUAUCGUGGAGUUUUUCGACUGAGGUGACAAUGGUUCUUGUUGUAUCUGCGAUUAUGGGAUUUCUUGCAAGCUAUAGUACCAUGUUGCCCGUUUGCACGGCUUUCUUGGCUUAUUUGUUGUAUCCAUUGUCGUUGGUUUUGGUCUACGUUCUUGGUGAAAAUGACUGGCUAUCGUUUAACCUUAGUUAGGUCAUACUACA
RNAcentral lists this long non-coding RNA (200 nucleotides) under Erythranthe guttata (spotted monkey flower). Its description in RNAcentral is "long non-coding RNA (EGUT_LNC002659)". Lineage: Eukaryota; Viridiplantae; Streptophyta; Magnoliopsida; Lamiales; Phrymaceae. The record is from RNAcentral.